RNAcentral lists this ribosomal RNA (253 nucleotides) under uncultured bacterium. RNAcentral's name for it is "partial 16S ribosomal RNA". It matches the Rfam family "Bacterial small subunit ribosomal RNA", at positions 524 to 776 of the family's 1533-position model. The record is from RNAcentral.
UACGGAGGGUGCAAACGUUGCUCGGAAUCAUUGGGCGUAAAGCGCACGUAGGCGGCCUGUUAAGUCGGAUGUGAAAGCCCCGGGCUCAACCCGGGAAGUGCAUUCGAAACUGGCGGGCUUGAAUAUGGAAGAGGGUCGCGGAAUUCCCGGUGUAGAGGUGAAAUUCGUAGAUAUCGGGAGGAACACCAGUGGCGAAGGCGCCUAUCUGGCUGACAACUGACGCUGAGACUCGAAAGCAUGGGGAGCAAACAGG